Molecule: ribosomal RNA, 396 nt
Filed under: uncultured bacterium
Lineage: Bacteria
Description: bacterial SSU rRNA
Rfam family: Bacterial small subunit ribosomal RNA
Source: RNAcentral
CUACCCUUGACAUGGCAGGAAUCCUGAAGAGAUUUGGGAGUGCUCGAAAGAGAACCAGUACACAGGUGCUGCAUGGCUGUCGUCAGCUCGUGUCGUGAGAUGUUGGGUUAAGUCCCGCAACGAGCGCAACCCUUGUCAUUAGUUGCUACGAAAGGGCACUCUAGAGAGACUGCCGGUGACAAACCGGAGGAAGGUGGGGAUGACGUCAAGUCCUCAUGGCCCUUAUGGGUAGGGCUUCACACGUCAUACAAUGGUGCGUACAGAGGGUUGCCAACCCGCGAGGGGGAGCUAAUCCCAGAAAACGCAUCGUAGUCCGGAUCGUAGUCUGCAACUCGACUACGUGAAGCUGGAAUCGCUAGUAAUCGCGGAUCAGCAUGCCGCGGUGAAUACGUUCCC